UCCCCUCACUCCCGUCGGUCUCCCUCUCUCAAACCAUUUCCCAUUUUCUACAAAUCCCCAAAUCACAAAAUCCAAUUUUGGGAAAGAAGAACCCUAGGUCAAAUUCCCCAAUUUGAGGAUCCGCCUCCCUUCUCCCGCGAUUCAGCGCCGCUGUGGCGUCUCCGGCCUGAGGCAACCGCAGCUUAGUCCGCUUCAGAGACCAGCGCCGCCGCUGCCCUUUGGUGUCACCGCCACCAUCGGACAGCACUACCGCCGCUGUUCCUCGACUCGUCGCCGACUGAGAUGGCGUGGUCAGCUGCCGUCGCUGAUCUUCUACCAACGGCGGGACCUCCAUUACCGGCACCCUCGCGGCUUUACUGAUACGGCUCCACCCUUGGUCGGACAAAGAUGGUAGCAGGAGUGCAGGUUAACUGCACAAGGGAAAAUUGCAGGCUGACUUGCUCAUUUAGGAGAAAGCUGCAAGUCUCGGCUGCCACCUUGCUGUCUUGGGCCCGACAGGCUGUUCGGAGGGAUGCCCGGAAGUGCAUAUUUGUGUUCUUAAUUCCCAUCUCAUCGCUUCGUCUAAAUUAUUUGUAAUUAGUUAGUAACUUGACGUGUAUAUGAAAAGGUAUUCGAACACCUUUGUCUGGAAAUAAACUUUCGGUCCCUUUUUGUAAAUUUUCAUAAUUAUAUAAAAGUUGUUUUGGUUCGUUCGAUUCUUA
Molecule: long non-coding RNA, 701 nt
Organism: Salvia splendens (bonfire salvia)
Lineage: Eukaryota; Viridiplantae; Streptophyta; Magnoliopsida; Lamiales; Lamiaceae
Exons: 3
Source: RefSeq, a predicted model, not a curated record